AGUGAACGCUGGCGGCGUGCCUAAUACAUGCAAGUCGAACGAAGUGGCGCACGGGUGAGGAAUAUAUAGUUAAACUGCCCUACACAGAGGAAAAACAGGUGGAAAAGACUGCGAAUACCUCAUAGUGUAGGAUGAGACUAUAUCGUAUCAGCUAGUUGGUAAGGUAAUGGCUUACCAAGGCUAUGACGCGUAACUGGUCUAAGAGGAUGAUCAGUCACAUUGGAACUGAGGCACGGGCCAGACUCCUUCGGGAAGCAGCGGUAAGUGGUAUUACUCAAUGGGCGGCAGCCUACCGCAGCAACGCCUCGUGAAGGAUGUCACUUUUCGGAGCAUAAACUCCUUUUAACAGGAAUGCGGUACCUGAUGAAUAAGCACCGGCUAACUCCGUGCCAGCAGCCGCGGUAAUAC
RNAcentral lists this ribosomal RNA (408 nucleotides) under uncultured bacterium. Its description in RNAcentral is "partial 16S ribosomal RNA". It matches the Rfam family "Bacterial small subunit ribosomal RNA", at positions 29 to 526 of the family's 1533-position model. The record is from RNAcentral.